AGCUCCAAACUACCGUAUUUUUCGCACGAUUGGACGCACCGGACCAUAGGACGCACCUAGUUUUUUGGGGGGGAAAUAAAGAGAAAAAAUUUCCCCUUUAUUUCCCCCCCAAAAGCAGGUCAGGGAAACCGAACCAGGUCGAGGAACAGCGGGAUAGUGGCGCUGCGCCUCCCUGCUGUCCCCCGAGCUUGUGGGGCUGGCUGAUGUCUGCCUGGCGCAUGGGGCGCUCUGCUUCAGCGGGCCCCACCCGCCAGGCAGCAGGCUGCUAUCCGCAGUGUCAGGAGCCCUGUGGGGAACUCCUGCAGGGCUCCCCGCGCUGCGGAUGUCUGCCUGGCACGAGGGGCGCUCUGCUUCAGGGCGUCCCUCGUGCCGGGCGGCAGGCUGCUAUCCGCAGCGUGGGGAGCCCUGCGGGGAACUCCUGCAGGGCUCCCCACGCUGCGGAUGUCUGCCUGGCGCAAGGGGCGCUCUGCUUCAGGGGCGCCCGACACUCCGGGAAGCAGGCUGCUAUCCGCAGCCUAGACACGGCUAGCGGAGCACUAAUCCCGAAGCUUGGGGCGUGCAGAGCUCAGCGCGCCCCAAGCUUCUGGGUGCCGGCAAGCCGUGGGAGAGCUGGGUCUCCCACGGCUAGCGGAUAGCUUCCUGAAGCCUGGAGAGCGAGAGGGGUCGGUGCGCACCGACCCCUCUCACUCUCCAGGCUUCAGCGAAAGCCUGCAUUCGCUCCAUAGGACGCACACACAUUUUCCCUUGUUUUUUAGGAGGGAAAAAG
This is a long non-coding RNA of Podarcis raffonei (Aeolian wall lizard), 766 nucleotides long. RefSeq lists it as uncharacterized. The transcript is spliced from 3 exons. NCBI's taxonomy places the organism in Eukaryota, Metazoa, Chordata, Lepidosauria, Squamata, Lacertidae. The record is from RefSeq and is a predicted model, not a curated record.